This 253-nucleotide ribosomal RNA is filed under the name uncultured bacterium. Its description in RNAcentral is "partial 16S ribosomal RNA". It matches the Rfam family "Bacterial small subunit ribosomal RNA", at positions 524 to 776 of the family's 1533-position model. The record is from RNAcentral.
UACGUAGGGGGCAAGCGUUGUCCGGAAUCAUUGGGCGUAAAGAGCGCGUAGGCGGCCCGAUAAGUCCGCUGUAAAAGUCCAGGGCUCAACCCUGGAAAGCCGGUGGAUACUGUCGGGCUAGAGUCCGGAAGAGGCGAGUGGAAUUCCUGGUGUAGCGGUGGAAUGCGCAGAUAUCAGGAGGAACACCAAUGGCGAAGGCAGGUCUCUGGGCAUUAACUGACGCUGAGGAGCGAAAGCAUGGGGAGCGAACAGG